This 1495-nucleotide ribosomal RNA is filed under the name uncultured bacterium. Its description in RNAcentral is "16S ribosomal RNA". It matches the Rfam family "Bacterial small subunit ribosomal RNA". The record is from RNAcentral.
AGUUUGAUCCUGGCUCAGGACGAACGCUGGCGGCGCGUCUAAGACAUGCAAGUCGAGCGGACCGUAGCAAUACGGUUAGCGGCGAACGGGUGAGUAACACGUAGCUACCUGCCCUCCAGUAUGGGAUAACCGGGCGAAAGCCCAGCUAAUACCGAAUACGCUCUGUGGAGGAAAGCGGGGGACCGAAAGGCCUCGCGCUGGAGGAGGGGGCUGCGGCCUAUUAGCUAGUUGGCGGGGUAACGGCCCACCAAGGCGAUGAUGGGUAGCUGAUCUGAGAGGAUGAUCAGCCACACUGGGACUGAGAUACGGCCCAGACUCCUACGGGAGGCAGCAGUUAAGAAUCUUGCGCAAUGGGCGAAAGCCUGACGCAGCGACGCCGCGUGGAGGAUGACGGCCCUCGGGUUGUAAACUCCUUUUCCUAGGGACGAAAUCAGGGCCCCAAUACGGCCCCCAAUGACGGUACCUGGGGAAUAAGCCCCGGCCAAUUACGUGCCAGCAGCCGCGGUAAUACGUAAGGGGCAAGCGUUGUCCGGAAUCACUGGGCGUAAAGCGCGCGUAGGCGGUUUUGUAAGUCGGGUGUGAAAUCCUCGGGCUUAACCCGAGAACUGCGCCCGAAACUGCAUCACUGGAGGGACGGAGAGGUGCAUAGAAUUCCCGGUGUAGGGGUGAAAUCCAUAGAGAUCGGGAGGAAUACCAAUGGCGAAGGCAGUGCACUGGACGUCACCUGACGCUGAGGUGCGAAAGCGUGGGGAGCGAACGGGAUUAGAUACCCCGGUAGUCCACGCCGUAAACGAUGGGUACUAGGUUUGGGAGGCUUCGACCCCUUCCGAGCCGUCGCUAACGCAUUAAGUACCCCGCCUGGGGAGUACGACCGCAAGGUUAAAACUCAAAGGAAUUGACGGGGGCCCGCACAAGCGGUGGAGCGUGUGGUUUAAUUCGAUGCUACGCGAAGAACCUUACCUGGGCUUGACAUCCCUGGAACCCCUGUGAAAGCAGGGGGUGCGCCUUCGGGCGAGCCAGGAGACAGGUGCUGCAUGGCUGUCGUCAGCUCGUGUCGUGAGAUGUUGGAUUAAGUUCCGCAACGAGCGCAACCCUUGCCGCUAGUUACCAUCAUUUAGUUGGGGACUCUAGCGGGACUGCCAGCAAAAACUGGAGGAAGGUGGGGACGACGUCAAGUCAGCAUGGCCCUUACGCCCAGGGCUACACACGCGCUACAAUGGCCGAUACAACGCGUUGCGACCCUGCGAGGGGAAGCGGAUCGCUCAAAGUCGGCCCCAGUUCGGAUUGGAGGCUGCAACUCGCCUCCAUGAAGUCGGAAUCGCUAGUAACCGCCGAUCAGCUACGCGGCGGUGAAUACGUUCCCGGGCCUUGUACACACCGCCCGUCACACCACCCGAGUCAACUGCACCCAAAGUCGCUGGCCGAACCCCGCAAGGGGACGGAGGUGCCUAAGGUGUGGUUGGUGAGGAGGGUGAAGUCGUACAAGGUAGCCGUA